AGCAGCCGCGGUAAUUCCAGCUCCAAUAGCGUAUAUUAAAGUUGUUGCAGUUAAAAAGCUCGUAGUUGAAUUUCGAGAUCAAAUUGUUGGUCGUGCCUUGGUACGCACUGGCAUUAUUGGUUUCUCCCUUCUGACGAACCAUGAUGUCAUUAAUUUGGUGUCUUGGGGAAUCAGGACUGUUACUUUGAAAAAUUAGAGUGUUUAAAGCAGGCUCACGCUUGAAUACAUUAGCAUGGAAUAAUGAAAUAGGACGUUUGAUUCUAUUUUGUUGGUUUCUAGGAUCGACGUAAUGAUUAAUAGGGAUAGUUGGGGGCAUUAGUAUUCAAUUGUCAGAGGUGAAAUUCUUGGAUUUAUUGAAGACUAACUACUGCGAAAGCAUUUGCCAAGGAUGUUUUCAUUAAUCAAGAACGAAAGUUAGGGGAUCGAAGACGAUCAGAUACCGUCGUAGUCUUAACCAUAAACUAUGCCGACUAGGAAUCGGAUGAUGU
Molecule: ribosomal RNA, 488 nt
Filed under: uncultured Glomus
Lineage: Eukaryota; Fungi; Glomeromycota; Glomeromycetes; Glomerales; Glomeraceae
Description: SSU rRNA
Rfam family: Eukaryotic small subunit ribosomal RNA
Source: RNAcentral